UUUUUUUGGGGUAAAAGUGUUUCACUUGAACAGCAAAUUAAGUACAAUAAAACUGAUUGAUAUUGAAUAUUGAAUUGCAGAAUAAAUAAACUUAAAAAGAAUUUCCAGCAUUCUUAUGGAUAUGAGACCUAAAAAGUUAUUGUUUAUAGAAUUUGUGUAUACAAUAUUGUAUUUGAUUUUUAACAUUGUUGCAUCGAAGGUUAAAACUGAAGAUA
RNAcentral lists this long non-coding RNA (215 nucleotides) under Mytilus galloprovincialis (Mediterranean mussel). The record is from RNAcentral. Lineage: Eukaryota; Metazoa; Mollusca; Bivalvia; Mytilida; Mytilidae.